RNAcentral lists this small nuclear RNA (277 nucleotides) under Cariama cristata (Red-legged seriema). RNAcentral's name for it is "7SK RNA". It matches the Rfam family "7SK RNA". Rfam says of the family: 7SK was discovered as an abundant small nuclear RNA in the mid-70s but a possible function has only recently been suggested. Two independent studies have found that 7SK RNA binds the CDK9/cyclin T complex (known as elongation factor P-TEFb). Lineage: Eukaryota; Metazoa; Chordata; Aves; Cariamiformes; Cariamidae. The record is from Rfam by way of RNAcentral.
AAAUUUGGAGCAGCAGAGUGAAAGACUCUCCUCAUUGAUCACUGGAGUGGACUGGCUGAUCUGGCUGGGUAGGUGAAUUUUUCAUCUCUCCUCACAACGUCUUUCUGCAAACCUCACAAAGCUGCACACUGCGACAAGGAGUACCAUGCUCUGUGUUAGGCACAGUAGUGUCUCCUUCUAGAUCCUCCAAACAAGAUUUGCAGAACAGAGUGGCCAACACUCCAAGCCUUGAGACAUGUCCAAUUGAAGGCCUGUAUACUGCAAUUUGCCUUUCAUU